CUCAUUCUAACUUAUUGCACCAGUGCAACAGUGCAGCUAGAAAGAACAGACCAAAGAACAGGCCAGUCGAGUGCGAAAAGUGCAAGUAACGCAACAGGCCCAUUCACUUGCAUUUUCUGGACAUAACCAAUGUAUGUCAACAAUGAAGCGUACUUGGCUUGUUAUCGCCCAGUCAUUUGUUUUGAAAUGUUGCAGUGUACAAUCACUGAGACAUCGUUACAUUGGCACAAUGGCGCAUCCGCUAAUUGCAGUAUGUCAAAUGCGAUCGAUAGCUGAUAAAGUAAAAAAUCUGGAGGUUGUGACCGAAUUAACGGCCGAAGCCAAACGCAGAUCAGCCAUAAUAGCAUUUUUUCCUGAAGCUUGCGAUUUUUUGGCAAAUAAUAAGAAAGAUAUCAUUACUAUGGCUGAACCUCUGACUGGACAGACAGUGACAUCUUAUAAAGAAAUUGCUAUAAAGAAUGAUAUUUGGUUGUCUUUAGGUGGAAUUCACGAAGCUUCAGAUAAUGUGGAAAAAAUUUAUAAUACACAUAUAUUGAUAAAUAAUCAAGGGCAACUGGUAGCUGCAUACAGAAAGAUACACUUAUUUGACAUGGAUAACAAAGAUACUGGAGUACGCUUAGUGGAAUCGGAUUACGUGCUUAAAGGAACCGAAAUUGUGCCACCAGUACAAACACCGAUCGGCAAGCUAGCGCUUAGCAUUUGUUAUGAUAUACGGUUUCCCGAAUUAUCAUUAACUUUGCGAAACAUGGGAGCACAGAUUCUCACGUAUCCGUCGGCAUUCACAUAUCAGACUGGUGCCGCACACUGGGAGGUGAUGUUGCGAGCGCGAGCCAUAGAAAAUCAGUGUUACGUCGUGGCUGCGGCGCAAACCGGCACGCAUAACAAAAAGAGAGUGAGUUGGGGUCAUGCUAUGAUCGUGGAUCCUUGGGGCGCCGUUAUAGCACAAUGCGCGGAAAAAACGGGUAUAGUUGUGGCGGAAGUUGAUCUCGUGCUAUUGGAAAAAGUGAGAAAAAAUAUGCCGUGCGAGGAACACCGUCGCAUUGAUUUGUACUCUAAAAUGGGAUGUUAAAAGUUUACAAAGUUUAAUAAGACCAUUUACAUUAAUGAUAAUUAACUUUAAACUCGGUUUCAUUUAUUCUUUCUUUUUCUAAGUUAUAAAAAUGAGUAAGUUAAACCGAAAAUAAAAUUUCUAUUCUGUUUAGUUAAAGAAUAUAAUCGAUAUGCGUAUAAAUAGGAUAAAGUGGGAAAAAUGCAACACCUUAAAGCUUUUUCAUGUGCUGCUGAAACUGAUCGUUUGAGCGACAAAAAGGAUCACGUGACGGGAUUUGUUGCUAAAUAUUUGUCGUUUGUAAUCUAGCGGCUAUGAUUUUGUAGUUUAAACUGGUUUAACUACAAAGUAUUUGUUGCUCAAAUGCUGUGUAAAAUAGAUACACAACGACAGUGCUGCUGCACCGUGUUCAUUGUAUGUUCCGAGAAAAAUAACAUAACCUUACAAAUCAGAGUAUUAGUUAUGUUAUUUUCAGAAAUCGUAAAAAGUUUCAUGUAAAUGCAACCAUUCCAUUGGUUGGAAUCGUUGAGAUUACGUAAAGCACUGACAGUUCUCUGAUGUUUAUGAAAUUUUGAUUCAAUCAUUUGUAACAAGUCCUCCAGUUGUAUUGAUGAUAUGAGGAAAUAAUUUAUAAAUUUUGCACUUUCUAACUUUAUAUAUGAGGUUUGUUUUUUUAUUCCUGCACUGCUGCACUAGUGUAAUAAGUUAGAAUGAAAAUAAAUAUAUUUGUUUUUAUUUUAUUAUAUGUCGAAUAAUAAUUUGCAUUUAUUUUAUUACAUGUCGAAUAAUAACAAUGUACAUACAUAAAGUUUCCUUUGUAUCAGAUGCUCAUUUUACUUCUGACUUCUGUCUCAUAGACAUCUAGUACAUUCUUAACUUUUUAAUUAAAAAAAAUCAUUUCUUCAUCCGUUUCAAACUCAAGUCCGAAGUGUGAUAAUUUAACAAUUCUCUUUUUCAAGGCAUAUGUAAGUUGUUUUUUUAAAUAUCUAUUAACAUUCAUUCUUAAAUCAUCUCUUAAUAGUUACAUAUAAUUUCCUUUGUCCGGUUUUAUUCAGAUACUUGGAUAUUUAUGCUUCCACAAUUUUGCAAAAACAACAGUCUUUUAACAUUUCCGUUCACUGUUUCAUAUGAAAGAGAUAAUUAAUUGUUCUUUCACCUGAACAUUUGAUAUAAGGGAUCACUCCUGGACUACGUCUCUAUUCUUUAUUGUUAUUUUAAUUUAUAUUUUGACGAAUGACACUUCUUCCGAUUUAGACUUCAAUUUCGAUUGUUAAUCCUAAUUACUUUUAUUCGGUUUAUUAUUUAUUUUUAAUCUGUGUUAACCUUAUUUUUUAAUAUUCUUGACCAUUUACUUUAUAUCAUUCAGCGUGUUUAUAUAUACUUUAAGUUUUGUUUUUCAUUAUACUUCAAUUGUUUUAUAAGCGGCUGAAGAUGACUUUGUAAAGUCGAAACGUUUCGAAAUUUUAAUCUAAUUUAUAUCAAGUUAUUUCUAAUAAAAUUACUUAUUUUCUCGCUACAUCAUAAUCUGUUCGUCUUCUUGACCUUUAUUAUAUAUUGUUUUUAUAUUUUUCUUGUUCUAAUUUAUUGCACCAGAAUGCAGCAGUGCAGAAAUAAAAAACAAACCUAUGGUAAUGUAAUUCGAUCAGUUUCAGUAACACGAAAAAGCACCUUUAUAGCAAAUUCAGUACACAUACACUGACUCUAUUCUGAUGCUGCCGUGACAUGGUGCGAAUGCAGAGUAGAAUUAUUUUAUGCGUAUAGCAUGUAGUACUAGCACGGAGUAAGAGGAGUAUGAUGUUUAUAGCGUGUGAAUAGAGGAAGUGGCCCCGUUUUUAUCCCCCUAAUUGGGAGAGGAUCCGCUGAAAGCAUGGAGAAUAGACAUCAGGAGGACGAUCAAAGGCAAAAAAGCACGGAUUUUCAUAAUGGAUUCUUUUAUGGAUCGUCCUCCUAGUCUCUAUUCUUCAUGGCUGAAAGAAAUGAAUUCUUAUUCAUGGCCACCAUUUGAAGAGAGGGAGAGGGAAGGAGAGGAGAGAGGAGGGAGAGAAGCAGAGAUAAUGGCUGCGUUCAGCGGAAAAAAUUUCUCAGUGAGCAUCUUAUGUUGCGCUCCCAACAGUUUGCGGUUUCUGCUGAACGCACUUUUAUCAGAUGUGCCAUCAGCAAGAUGGCGCUGAUCAUAGUGCAAAUUUGAAACUUAUAAUAAGCUUACUGUGGUACUGUGACUCUCACCAGAGUCGGAUAUCCAUUUGGGGAAUAACAAUAAGCUUACUGUGAAACAUCCUGCAUAUAUAUAUAUAUAUUUUUUUUUAUAUAAACAUUUGACUACUGAUUAUUACUAUCAAGUAUCAAUUCGAAAGGAGAUUCAAAAAUUAAUUAUUGAAGAAGAAAAAAGAUCUACAAACAAGGGGAAACUAAUAUUAUUAACAAAAAUAAUAGAUUUAAUAUUAUUUAUUGCGAUGGACGAAGCUAUAAAUUUAAAUAACGUUAUAAAUAAUAUAGAGACUUAGGUCUUGAAAUGCCUUUAAUUUAUGGAUCGCGAAAUUGUAAUUUUCUUUCAUUAUAUUUUUCUAAUAAAAGUUUUGUAUUUUGUCUUGUCCAAUUAAAUGUUGUCUCCUUAGGAUCUGUAACAUAAACGUACAUUAUUUUAUCACACGUUUGCAUGCAUGUAUGUAUAUGUGUAAAUAUUUGCAAAAUAUAAAUUUAAAUUUUA
RNAcentral lists this unclassified non-coding RNA (3755 nucleotides) under Monomorium pharaonis (pharaoh ant). Its description in RNAcentral is "deaminated glutathione amidase, transcript variant X7". The record is from RNAcentral. Lineage: Eukaryota; Metazoa; Arthropoda; Insecta; Hymenoptera; Formicidae.